Pan troglodytes (chimpanzee) is the source of this 88-nucleotide microRNA precursor. The record is from Ensembl. Lineage: Eukaryota; Metazoa; Chordata; Mammalia; Primates; Hominidae.
AAGGUAUUAGGUUGGUGCAAAAGUAAUUGUGGUUUUUGCUAUUACUUUUAAUGGCAAAAACCACAAUCACUUUUGCAACAGCCUAAUA